CGAUAAAUGGCGCCGCUUUGCAAAACGUGCACCUAAAACAGGACCACAUGACCCUCGGCGUUAGCAGGCCUUCCUGACAGCAACCAGCCUUCCUGACAGCAACCAGCCUUCCCUCGUUGCUGGUUGAGUUUCCGGAAGCGGGUGUCAGGCUCUUCCGGCAUAUAAUCUCAGACUACUCGAACUACAUCGGCUUAGGAACAGACUUUUGUCGCUGAAAAGAAUUUAGUCGAAGUAGCCUAUUCUACAGUUGCCCAUACGUUAACCAGGAACAAGCGGAAUUCGGGCUUGAUCUCCAGCUUAUCCAGCUAAGCUCGUUUGGUACACACAACGUCUUCCCGUUCCUCCUAUAGCCGCAAAGGAACCGAUCAGGCGAUCCGUCUUUCUUUGGAAAAAAACUGCUGUAGAGUCGUUCUUCGAAUUCGUCGUAUGUGCUUGUUUCCCGCACACGCGAGUAAAAGCACACUUGGAUCGUUUCUCGUUCAGAUCUGCGAACAGUCCAACAUUCAUAGUUAUCAUGGAGAGCAGCGCAGUUUCCAAGUUCAAGCAGAAGCCCGGUCAACGCUGUCCUUGAACAGAUAUAGCCCAGCUGAAUACACGAUUGACUGCCAUAGAGAUAUUGGUCGUUCUCAUCCCCACUCGCUAUUUCCACUGGCAGACGCUUGCUUCUACGAUUUCUAGAAAUCAGCUCGUGCUUGCCAUAACAGAAGAGGGUAACAUCGUCAAUAUACGUCUACGACGAAAACAAGAAUUUAUUCCACGACCCUUGCUGGA
This is a long non-coding RNA of Varroa destructor (honeybee mite), 771 nucleotides long. RefSeq lists it as uncharacterized. NCBI's taxonomy places the organism in Eukaryota, Metazoa, Arthropoda, Arachnida, Mesostigmata, Varroidae. The record is from RefSeq and is a predicted model, not a curated record.